Molecule: ribosomal RNA, 469 nt
Filed under: uncultured bacterium
Lineage: Bacteria
Description: partial 16S ribosomal RNA
Rfam family: Bacterial small subunit ribosomal RNA
Source: RNAcentral
GACGAACGCUGGCGGCGUGCUUAACACAUGCAAGUCGAACGAUGAAGCCUUAUCUUGCUUUGGUGGAUUAGUGGCGAACGGGUGAGUAACACGUGAGCAACGUGCCCAGGACUCUGGAAUAACCUCGGGAAACCGUGGCUAAUACCGGAUAGGUUCCGAGGCCGCAUGGUCUUCGGUUGGAAAGUUUUUGCGGUUCUGGAUCGGCUCACGGCCUAUCAGCUUGUUGGUGGGGUAAUGGCCUACCAAGGCGACGACGGGUAGCCGGCCUGAGAGGGUGACCGGCCACACUGGGACUGAGACACGGCCCAGACGCCUACGGGAGGCAGCAGUGGGGAAUAUUGCACAAUGGGCGCAAGCCUGAUGCAGCAACGCCGCGUGGGGGAUGACGGCCUUCGGGUUGUAAACCUAUUUUAGUAGGGAAGAAGCGAAAGUGACGGUACCUGCAGAAAAAGCACCGGCUAACUACGUG